Long non-coding RNA from Anneissia japonica, 1289 nucleotides. RefSeq lists it as uncharacterized. NCBI's taxonomy places the organism in Eukaryota, Metazoa, Echinodermata, Crinoidea, Comatulida, Comatulidae. The transcript has 2 exons. The record is from RefSeq and is a predicted model, not a curated record.
GCUCAGACCUACGAAAGCUAAGACCUAAGACCUAAUGUGUGCCAGCGUUACCUUCGGAUUGUGUACAAAGUAAGUAUACCGCCUAAUACAGUAGCAUAACAGUUGUGUCGUCACAACACCAGGUGGCGCCCUUUGUUGUCAACUAAACGUUCGUUACCGUUCAUUGUGCCUGGAUAACUUCAUAAUCUUAAUGGUUUAGAAUAGGCUUUCUGGAAUAGGCAUUUUAAAACCUAAUAAAUUACCAUCAAAAUGUACUAAAAACACAAAAGCUCGCAUUAUACAUUAGUUAUUUAACACACAUUUAAUCACCAAUUAAAAUUUACAAAGAAAAACUAAGAUACAACAUCUAAAUAAAUACGUUAGGAAUUGGGAUCAGUGGUUUGUCCGUGGAGAAAAUGGCGUCCGGUUGGCGAAUUCUUUUUAUCGUAGGUAAGUUGAGCAUAAUGAAUUAUUCAUUUUGUGUGACUGAAGGCUUUACUAGCGCAUGCGCAAUCUCGCUUCCAUGGGCUUUGCUCGCUGUAGCUUUUUUACGUCGCGGUGAGCGAAGGUUGGGUUAUCGGUGGGAUUCACUUAGACUGGGUUCCAGUCCUUAAUCUUUGUCUUAAUCAGUUGAAAUGCUUAAGAAUAAAUCGAUUUUGGCACAAAUGGCGUUCCGUAUUACUUAUUUGCAUGGCGUUCCAUAGUAUACUUUUUCUGGGAUUAGACAACUAGUAAUAAGCCUUUUCGCAGUUCCGACUGCGCAUGCGUCAGAUUGAAGACAAAAAAGUCUCUGGAAAUAAACAACCACGCUAGUCUUGCAGACAAAUUUUCAAAGUAUGGAACUUUCUUACCUUAAAUUUUGUAUAUAUCAUUUCUAGAUUUUCAAACAGUAACAUUUAAGUGACUGAUGAUUUAAUCAUAAAUUAUGAAGUUGUGUCCAGUAGUAGGUUGCAGCAACAGCUCAUCAUAUCACCUAGACAAGUGGAAACAACUUGACUGCACUAAACAUGGAAAUAAAAAUGGAAGUGGAUGUUGCGAUUGCCUUCCACCAUUCAGUUAAAGUUAAAAGACAAAGAUGAUUGCUAACCUAAGGAUCCAUGUAGAGAGAGCAAUAAACCGAUUGAAGGACUUCCAAAUCUUGAACUCUACAUUACCAAUUACUCUCAUCACAGUAUCUGAUGACAUAAUAACUGUGUGUGCUGCUCUAUGCAAUUUGCAACCAGAUCUAAUUUCUUGAAUGAAAGUAACUGAAUUGUAAUUAGGAAUGUGUAAAUAAAAUAAAGGAAAGUUUCUCUUCAAAUAAAUGAAAA